CCUAGAGCUGAGGUGCGGGGAGGGACCUCCCCCGCGCGCCUAGGAUCGGGAAGUCGUCUCCCUGGAGACUGAGCAGAUUGAUGGCCUCUGCCAGGAGGCACAAGGUGAAGACACGGACUCGGAUCUCUGCUCUGCCAGUUCCAGAAGCUAGGACUGACUCAGAUCAAAGGCUCCGUGGGUCCCCGCUAACAUAAGUUGGCCCCUUUCUUACCUCUGAAAUCACAUGCAUGGUCUCCGGCCCCAGCCAGGCAUCCAGCGUCUCCUUCAGAGAUUGGCCAAUCUGGGUCAAGAGAUCAGCUGAGGCCUCCCUCUUCUGCUGGCCAGGUGAGGCAAAGUCUCGAUAGGACUGGGAUGACGAUGAAUGGACGAGGAGAAGGGCCACCAAGACCAUCAGGACAGCUUUGAACAGAUGCCUGCUCCAUGAGGGAUUGCUGUCUGAGCCUGCCAUGCUUGCGACUGUCAAGAGAGGGCCAUGGGGAAGCAAUGAUCCAGACCUGACGGAUACCUUUACUCUCCCUGCUGCUCGGUCAUUCCCUUCACCACCCCUGGUCCACAGCAAGCAUCCUAGACAAACCUAAAAAGGGCUGUGCGCCAAAAAAAGAUGAACCAGGACUUGCACUCUAAGCUGGGCACAACCAUCUGAGUCACAGCGUCCUCUUUUGUAUUCUCCACCGGAUCAAUUCACCGGCAUUUCUAUUCCAGGCCUUACAGUGGCCAAGAUCUAAAAUCUGAAGGCCUGUCUCCACAUCUUAGGCACCAUGGACAAAAACAAAUUCUAAGUCUCUAAAGGCUUCAUCCCAGGAAGCUUAUAAUGUACUGAAGCUAAAGCUGAUAAAAAAACCUUACUUAAAAAUAGCACGUAAGUAGGAUUACCACUGCACACCAAUGCAAAAUAAAGCACUCGGUUAACAGAGCAUACAAGAAUGACGGCAUUUACAACAGUUAUCUCUGCAGGGCCAUUAUGCAAGGUGGUUUUUCUCCCUCGCCCCUGUGGGCAUAGGCAUGAAGAAACAGUCUGCAGAUGAGCACUUGUGCAAGGUCACUGGGCUUAGAGGGAUUUCAGCCCAAGCUUCUGCUUCCAAAUUCUACCCUUGCUGGGGGGUCAAAGUGUUCAGUGGAUCUCAAUUGGGGCUGCUCUGUGCCAUUACCCCAGAGUGGUAUGAAGUGCUAAUGUCUGUGUCCAAGCACACUGGUUCUGAUGGCACUGUCUCUCUGUGAUCUGGUCUUGGAUAUGAGCUCCUCAAUGAUAGACUAUCCAAAGUUGAGAACCAUUCUAAGAAUAUAGGGAAAGGCCAAACUCUGUGUCUCGUAAACUGUCACUCAACAGUCAAGGUAGGACGUCUGUGACUACUUGUGCAAGGUUGUUUUUGUUUUCUGUUCUCAUCCCCAGCAAGCAAGCAAUCCGUUUUGCACUGGACAUCUUCUAAUUCAACUUGAUUUUGAUACUACCUACCUGGAGGCAGGGUCACAUUCUUUUGCCUAUUUGGAAGUGGGAAGUUGAAGUCAUUCUAUGUCAAUGGUUAUGAUAUAGUGUGUACACACACACACACACACACACACACACACACACACACACAAGCAGUUUGGUUUUCAUCUAUCCUUUUUGGCUUAGAGCUCACAUAUCUCAUAUAAUUUAAUACAUGGAAAGAACAAAAAAGAUACCUUUUAUAAAAAACAAAAAACAAAACCAUAGCCUUUUAGCCAGCUUCCUGCAACAUCUUCAGGGGAUGAAGAAUGAAAGACAGCCCUUUCAAACAUACAGUUUAUGUUAAUAAGACCAUUUUUAGAGAUCUCCCCCUGACAACCUCAGGAUUAGAGGGGUAAUUACCAGGGGGCCCAGACAUGCCUUUAGAGGGAUGAGACUUUCAUCCUUAACCUCUGAGGAAGGGUGGCUAAUGUUUGCAUUGAUUCCCAUGACCCAUGGUUUGGCUGAACACACCUAUAUAAUGUGACCAAUCUUUGGUGGGUUAUCCUUUCCAAGAUUAUUUCCUGUUCUUUUGCCCACUGAUAUAUUACUAAUAUCUGGAGAGAAGCUGCACCAUAAUGAUUAAAAUGUUAACUGUUGCUGGGGGUAGGCAGCUCAGUGACAGAUGGCUUGCCUAGCACGUGCAUGGCCUUGGGUUUAAUCCCUAAAACAGGUAGAUAGAUAACUGCUAAAUAAUCUUUAUAUUUAUAGAAUCCAUAACUUCUGGUGACUUUUGGAUUACAUCAGGAUGUGUGAUAUCCUUUCUUGUUCUUUAAUUCUAUGCUUCAACUAAUACAAAACAUGUCAAUAAAUGACUAUGAAAUCUAACUUACAGAUAAGUAAUGUCUGUCUAAGAACUAUAGGAACUUGCCCCAGGAGGUUGAAGUCAAGGUCUAUCAUGAUGUUCUAGCCAGAAGGAAAAAAAAAAGGUGGAGCUGCAUGCCCUGGAUGAGAAGACCCCACUCAACAUGUAGCACCCCCAUCCCCACCAUAUUUCACUGUACAAAACCCUUUUAUAUAUCUGCACUCCAUAAGAUAGAGAUUUGAGGCCAACAGCCCCUGUUUUCUCAGAGGCAAGCCCCGAAUGAAUCUGAUUUCCUUCCCACCAGUUCUCUCCCAAGUAUUUGCUUUUGAGCAAUGAGAGGCAGAAACUCUGUUCACAACUUCAGAUGCCAGUCACCAAGUCCUAGUUUAUUUUACCUGGUCUCUGUCUGGAUAUAAGUCAAGGUUCCUACAGCCCCUUUAUCAGGUUCAAUGAAUUGGCUAAAGAGGGUCAAGAGCUCAUGAAAUGUCAUGGAAAUUACUUUAACUAU
This is a long non-coding RNA of Onychomys torridus (southern grasshopper mouse), 2778 nucleotides long. RefSeq lists it as uncharacterized. NCBI's taxonomy places the organism in Eukaryota, Metazoa, Chordata, Mammalia, Rodentia, Cricetidae. The record is from RefSeq and is a predicted model, not a curated record. The transcript is spliced from 3 exons.